CCUACGGGAGGCAGCAGUGGGGAAUAUUGGACAAUGGACGCAACUCUGACCCAGCAACGCCGCGUGAAGGAAGAAGGCCUUAGGGUUGUAAACCUAUGUUGUUAAGGAAGAAAAGAAUGACGGUACUUUACAAGAAAGUCCACGCUAACUAUGUGCCAGCAGCCGCGGUAAGACAUAGGAGGCAAGCGUUGUUCGGAAUUACUGGGCGUAUAGGGAGCGUAGGCGGGAGGUUAAGGUUAGAGUGAAAGCCUUGGGCUCAACCCAAGAAAUGCUGUUAAUACUGGGUUUCUAGAGUGUGGGAGAGGUAAGUGGAAUUCCUAGUGUAGCGGUAGAAUGCGUAGAGAUUAGGAGGAACAUCAGAGGCGAAGGCGGCUUACUGGACCAUAACUGACGCUGAGGCUCGAAAGCGUGGGUAGCAAACAGGAUUAGAUACCCGUGUAGUA
This 443-nucleotide ribosomal RNA is filed under the name uncultured bacterium. RNAcentral's name for it is "partial 16S ribosomal RNA". It matches the Rfam family "Bacterial small subunit ribosomal RNA", at positions 338 to 795 of the family's 1533-position model. The record is from RNAcentral.